This 435-nucleotide ribosomal RNA is filed under the name Zora spinimana. RNAcentral describes it as "partial 16S ribosomal RNA". The record is from RNAcentral. Lineage: Eukaryota; Metazoa; Arthropoda; Arachnida; Araneae; Zoridae.
UUUUAUUAGAUAUCCUUAAUUAUCAAAUCUGCUCCAUGAACCUUUAAUAGCCGCAUAAUUUGUGCUAAGGUAGCCUUAUAAUUUUUCUUUUAAUUGAAGACUAGAACAAAUGAUUAAACAUUUUAAUUAAUUUCUUUAAUUUAUUAACUAGAAAUUUUUCUAAAUGCUAAAAACCAUUUAUAAAAAAAAAAGACGACAAGACCCUAUUGAACUUAACUGAAGUUAAGCUGGGGCAGCUAAUUAUUUAUUAUUUUAAUUUAAAUAAAAUUAUUAUAAUCCAAUACAAUUGAUAAUAAGUUACCAUAGGGAUAACAGCGUAAUAUAAUUCUAAAGAUCUUAUUUAAAAUAUAAUUGGCGACCUCGAUGUUGAAUAAUUUCCUAACCUUUAAAGCAAAAAUUAGUAAAGGAAGUCUGUUCGACUUUUAAAAAAUUACA